RNAcentral lists this ribosomal RNA (253 nucleotides) under uncultured bacterium. Its description in RNAcentral is "partial 16S ribosomal RNA". It matches the Rfam family "Bacterial small subunit ribosomal RNA", at positions 524 to 776 of the family's 1533-position model. The record is from RNAcentral.
UACGGAGGGUGCAAGCGUUAAUCGGAAUUACAGGGCGUAAAGCGCACGCAGGCGGUUGGAUAAGUUAGAUGUGAAAGCCCCGGGCUCAACCUGGGAAUUGCAUUUAAAACUGUCCGGCUAGAGUCUUGUAGAGGGGGGUAGAAUUCCAGGUGUAGCGGUGAAAUGCGUAGAGAUCUGGAGGAAUACCGGUGGCGAAGGCGCCCCCCUGGACAAAGACUGACGCUCAGGUGCGAAAGCGUGGGGAGCAAACAGG